RNAcentral lists this transfer RNA (68 nucleotides) under Neanthes glandicincta. RNAcentral describes it as "tRNA-Ser". The record is from RNAcentral. RNAcentral also lists the same sequence under 1 other name. Lineage: Eukaryota; Metazoa; Annelida; Polychaeta; Phyllodocida; Nereididae.
GAAUUAUACAGGUGUAGGAUAAAGCUUCUAACUUUUAACCUAAGAGGUUCGAUUCCUUUUAUAAUUCU